RNAcentral lists this microRNA precursor (109 nucleotides) under Gossypium raimondii (Peruvian cotton). RNAcentral's name for it is "miR7505b stem-loop (gra-MIR7505b)". The record is from miRBase by way of RNAcentral. Lineage: Eukaryota; Viridiplantae; Streptophyta; Magnoliopsida; Malvales; Malvaceae.
ACUGUUAUCUACAGCUUUAGAAAUCAUCCCUUUUUUAGAUGUGUAAAUAUAUAAAUAAAUUGAAGCACAUUGCUAGAAAGGGAUGAUUUCUAAAGCUCUAGAUAACGUU